RNAcentral lists this ribosomal RNA (245 nucleotides) under uncultured bacterium. RNAcentral describes it as "partial 16S ribosomal RNA". It matches the Rfam family "Bacterial small subunit ribosomal RNA", at positions 528 to 772 of the family's 1533-position model. The record is from RNAcentral.
GAGGAUCCAAGCGUUAUCCGGAUUUAUUGGGUUUAAAGGGUGCGUAGGCGGUUUGAUAAGUUAGAGGUGAAAUACCGGUGCUUAACACCGGAACUGCCUCUAAUACUGUUGAGCUAGAGAGUAGUUGCGGUAGGCGGAAUGUAUGGUGUAGCGGUGAAAUGCUUAGAGAUCAUACAGAACACCGAUUGCGAAGGCAGCUUACCAAACUAUAUCUGACGUUGAGGCACGAAAGCGUGGGGAGCAAA